AACAACCUCAAUAUAGAGUCUAUGGGACGUUCUGUCCCUGGAUAUGUCCGCAGCCAUGUUUAUGGAGACCCCGUAUAGAAAUACCACAGUCGGCUUCAACAAAAUGGAUGCAAUAUUCUACUUAUUGGAGCAGACAUAUACAGAGAAUAUCCUUCCAUUAUAGUACGGGGGACAGAGCUGGAAUUACUCUGACGUCUAUGUAUGGCAUGGGAAUAGGAAAUGACUGUACUAGGAGCGGACAUACGGUACGGUGUGUAUCAUCAUGUAGGUGUAGGCUAUGCGGGAAGUGAGUGAGGACUACAUUUCCCAGGAUUCCCGGCUCUCCUCUGCUCCCACUGUUCCUUCAUGAUCUGUGAGGAGAGUUUGUCAGUACAGCUUGUUAUCACAAACAUUACAUUGCAUGAUGGCAGCAAAGAAAGAAAAACGAAGGAAGCACAUCAGAAAUGGCAAGAAUAUUCCACCAUAGCUAAACGCAGCCGCAUGUAAACGCAGCUAAUCGCAAUGUGCGAAUGCGAGUGUUCACUGUGCCUGGAGUCUUGGCAUUUCAAAAUAACAAAACCUGCUUUUAACAGCAGCAGAACAGCCGCCCGUGUGAAAGAGGCCUAACAGUCUGUACACUGUAGUAAACAGCCCCAGAAUGAGUAUCCAUCAUAAUACUUGCAGUGGCAGCCACAUGACCAUGCUCACUAAUGAUAAGUGCAUGUGAGGCUACUUCUGCUAAGGUUUCCCAGGAAAAAUAAGUGCUUCUCAUUGGUCAGCGCAGUCAUGUGGUCUCUCUGAGCAUUGAUCUGGGGUGGCCAAAAUAUUUGGAGUUCGUUCUCAUUUAAAAUUUUCUUGAAAAUGUGAAGUUGCCCAUUAACACAAUGCACUUGGAAAAGCAACACAACUGCACCGGAUCAAUGCAGGUCACUGCAAGGGCCGAGAGGAAACAAUUGUUUUUAUUUUUUUUGUGACCCAUUCACACCACAAUAUUGUGUACACGUGCAUUGCAUUAAAGGACUUAUUCAUGCUGCUUGCAUGCUAAAUA
Rana temporaria (common frog) is the source of this 1027-nucleotide long non-coding RNA. RefSeq lists it as uncharacterized. The transcript is spliced from 2 exons. Lineage: Eukaryota; Metazoa; Chordata; Amphibia; Anura; Ranidae. The record is from RefSeq and is a predicted model, not a curated record.